CCUACGGGAGGCAGCAGUGGGGAAUAUUGCACAAUGGGCGAAAGCCUGAUGCAGCAACGCCGCGUGAGGGACGACGGCCUUCGGGUUGUAAACCUCUUUUAGUUGGGAAGAAGGGAGCUUGCUCUUGACGGUACCAGCAGAAAAAGCACCGGCUAACUACGUGCCAGCAGCCGCGGUAAU
Molecule: ribosomal RNA, 180 nt
Filed under: uncultured bacterium
Lineage: Bacteria
Description: partial 16S ribosomal RNA
Rfam family: Bacterial small subunit ribosomal RNA
Source: RNAcentral